Zea mays is the source of this 3345-nucleotide RNA transcript. It is a transcript of the gene named 60S ribosomal protein L18a-like, with no coding region annotated. NCBI's taxonomy places the organism in Eukaryota, Viridiplantae, Streptophyta, Magnoliopsida, Poales, Poaceae. The transcript is spliced from 4 exons. The record is from RefSeq and is a predicted model, not a curated record.
CAACUAUAAAUACCACUCGACUUCCCCCACCUCCCUCGUCAGCUGCAGUGUCAAUCCCUCCUCUCCGCCGCCUACAGCUGCGGGGAGCUCGCCAGUCGCCACUUCGCCAGUCGCCACUUCGCCAGAAUGGUUGCCCACACGUUCCAUCAGUACCAGGCAGCGGGUCGCGCGCUGCCAGUCCCCGCUGAUGAGCACCCCAAGAUCUACCGCAUGGAGCUUGCGCUACCAACGAGGUCUGCUCCAAAUCCAAGCUCUGGUACUAUCUGAGGAAGCUCAAGUCUCAAGAAGGUUUAAGAGCAACGGUCAGAUUCUCGCCAUAGACGAGAUCUUUGAGUGUAACCCUACAACAAUCAAGAGCUGUGGCAUCUGGCUGUGUUACCAGUGCAGGACAGGUUACCACGACCUGCACAAGGAGUACCGUAAUACCACCCUGAAUGGUGCCAUGGAGCAGAUGUACAAUGAGACGGCUUCCUGUCAUCGUGUGGUCACCCUACAUACAGAUCAUCAAGACGGCAACAAUCAACUUUAAGCUUUGCAAGAGGGACAACGCCAAGCAGUUCCACAAUUCAAAGUUCAAGUUUCCUUUGGUUUACUGCAACAAGUCAGGCCACCAAAUAGGAAGCUGAAGACCACCUUCAAGGCUUUAAGGCCCAACUUGUUCGUGUUAUCCAACUUGCCCUGACACCCUCCCAAAUCUGUGAGGCUGUCAGUCUGGUGGUUUGCUAGUUCAGGGUAAUGCAAUCUACAUGCAACCUAUUGUUUCUAAGUUCUAGUUGGAGGUCCAUGAAAGGGUUCUUAGUGUGAUGGCAAAGGCUUCCGAGUAGCACCCUAGUGACCCGGGUCUGGUGGGUUGCUAGUUCAGGGUAACUCAAUCUACAUGCAACCUAUUGUUUCUAAGUUCUAGUUGGAGGUCCACAAAAGGGCUCUUAGUGUGAUGGCCAAGGCUUCCGAGUAGCACCCUAGUGACCUGGGUUAUGACUCCCAGUGGGAGUGGAUUUAUGUGGACUGGGUAAAAAUAUCCCUUUGUCUAACCAUACGUCAAAGCACGAUUUAAGGCCUGUCCCAUGCUCACAUAGGCAAUGUGGUCGUCGUGUAAGGGUGUGGGAAAGUAGGUUUAAGGGUUCCCUUAGGCAAUGCUUGGGGGCCUAUCCCAUCCUCAUUUCUUUUUGUUCUUUACCGUCUGGUGCCUUAUAAAUUAUAAUAGCAUGUACAAAUCUCAUGUGCUUUAAACUUACCCAAAAAAGAGCAGACCUGUUACUGGAGGGAUCUGGACGGGGUAUAAACGGAGGCAAUGGUGACUUAGUGAGACAGCUCUCACCACUGCAUUAUGCCUGCUUUAAAAUUCACUCAAAUGUCAAAACUGGUGUUUGCUUAUGGCUAUGUUGCUGCGGUCUUCCUUGUGCCAAGUCAGUUGCAACAUGAUCUGGUCAAAUUUGCUUUUUGUUCUGUACCCCUAAUUGCUUUUUAAUUUGCAAUGCUCUUUAAGAUUUUCUAGUUUGGUGUGUUUAAAUUGUGAUGUUUUACAUUUAUCAAAAACUGUUUCAUUACAUUGUAGGGCAACUUUGCCAAGGUUACCAACUAUAAAUUUGGUUUCCUUUUUUUCCCUGUUGCCAAUACCACUGUUGCCACUGGAUGUUUGAACUUUCCAGUCCAUGAGCUCUUUUAUUUGGUUUCAUGGAUAAUCAUCCUUGCCAACAUUCUUUACUAAAAGAACAUUCUACUUCCAAAGCUGUACAAAACUUCUAGUGGUUGUGAUCUAUUUGUUUUUUUCAUUAGUGACAUGGUGUAAUCUAUUUGUUUUUUUCAUUAGUGACAUGGUUGUGAGUUUUGCCUUGUAUUUUGAAUCCAUGUGUGUAUUUAGUCUCUUUGAGCAUGUAGUGUGAAUGUGAGUUAAUUUAUAGUAUUCUAAUUUGGUUUCUGAUUACCGUUGUAAUUUUUCAGGCAACUUUGCCAAGGUUACCAACUACAAUUUUGGUUUCCUUUUUUUCCCUGUUGCCAAUACCACUGUUGCCACAGGAUGUUUUUACUUUUCAGUCCGGGAGCUAUUUUAUUUGGUUUCAUGGAUAAGCAUCCUUGCCAGCAUUGUUUACAAAAAGAACAUUCUACUACCAAAGCUGCACAAAAUUAGUGGUUUGAGUUCUCGUGUACUCUUCUAUGCUGCAGCAUAAUCUGUUUCGUUUUGGGAGGAGCUAUUUUAUUUGGUUUCAUGGAUAAGCAUCCUUGCCAGCAUUGUUUACAAAAAGAACAUUCUACUACCAAAGCUGCACAAAAUUAGUGGUUUGAGUUCUCGUGUACUCUUCUAUGCUGCAGCAUAAUCUGUUUCGUUUUGGGAAUUGGGUACUAUGUUUGCUUUUUUCAUUAGUGACAUGGUUGUGAGUUUUUGCCUUAUUUUGAAUCUAAGUGUGUUGCUAUUUAGCCCCUUUGAGCAUGUAGUGUGAAUGUAAAUUAAUUUGUAGUAUUCUAAUUUGGUUUCUGAUUACCAUUAUAAUCUUUUCAGGCAACUUUGCCAAGGUUACCAACUAUAAAUUUGGUAUCCUUUUUUUCCCUGUUGCCAAUACCACUGUUGCUACUGGAUGUUUGAACUUUCCAUGAGCUAUUUUAUUGGUUUCAUGUGUAAGCAUCCUUGCCAACAUUGUUCAGUAAAGGAACAUUGUACUUCCAAAUCUGCACAAACUUGUAACUGUAAUGGUUUGAAUUCUCAUGUACUUUUCCAUGCAGCACCAACAUCAGUUUCUUUUUGCGUGGCAUUGUGUAAUCUAUUUGUUUUUUCAUUAGUGACAUUUUGAAUUCAAACGUGUUGCUAUUUUACCCCUUUGAGAAUGCAGUGUGAACGUAAAUUAAUUUUAGUAUUCUAAUUUAGUUUCUGAUUACCAUUCACUUUGGUUAACUUUGUCAAGCUUACCUAUUUACUUUGGUUAACUUUUUCCCCUGUUCUGUUGCCUAUAUCAUCCAUUGCUUGAUUUUCGUAUUUAAUGCACCGUCUUUUAUUAUAGGCAUUCUGGCAACUAUUCCACUAACUUUUUUUGCUCGGAUUUGUAGUAGAGGUUUUCAUGUUGUCUAGUUAAAGUAAUUUCCCCUGAAAAUUCGCUACAUUAGUAUACAUUCGGUAUUCAGUUGUUUUCACUGAUUUUUGCUGGGAUCUGUGGUAGAUGUUUUCGUUUUUCUUUCUUUUCCCUGAAAAUUCACAAGGUCACGAUCGAUUCGUUAUUGCCGCUUUCUUAGGAUUGUUGUCUUUGCUAUUGUCAGGAAUGUAUUUUUCUUUCUAGGAAGUUUACCGAUCGUUGUUAUGGUGCUCUGUUUUUAGAUUCCAUGGCCAAAAAUAAUAAAUGUGAUAAAGUUAAUUGU